RNAcentral lists this signal recognition particle RNA (97 nucleotides) under Deinococcus sp. Its description in RNAcentral is "signal recognition particle sRNA small type". It matches the Rfam family "Bacterial small signal recognition particle RNA". From Rfam's summary of the family: The signal recognition particle (SRP) is a universally conserved ribonucleoprotein involved in the co-translational targeting of proteins to membranes. The record is from RNAcentral. Lineage: Bacteria; Thermotogati; Deinococcota; Deinococci; Deinococcales; Deinococcaceae.
CCCGCUGGUAAGCACAGCGCGGACGCCUGAACCUGGUCAGAGCCGGAAGGCAGCAGCCAUAAGGGAUGCUCUUGCGGGUGUGCUUACUGGCUUUUUU